AGCUGGCUCGAGUGCAGUGGUGUUUACAACUAAUCAAUCAGAACCAGUUAUAGAUUUCUUUGUUCCUUCUCCACUUCUUCACUCUCAAUGCUUCCCUUGACCAGCCUAAA
Molecule: Y RNA, 110 nt
Filed under: Microcebus murinus (gray mouse lemur)
Lineage: Eukaryota; Metazoa; Chordata; Mammalia; Primates; Cheirogaleidae
Description: Y RNA (ENSMICG00000020815.3)
Rfam family: Y RNA
About the family: Y RNAs are components of the Ro ribonucleoprotein particle (Ro RNP), in association with Ro60 and La proteins. The Y RNAs and Ro60 and La proteins are well conserved, but the function of the Ro RNP is not known.
Source: Rfam by way of RNAcentral